GGGCCCGCACAAGCGGUGGAGCAUGUGGUUUAAUUCGAUGCAACGCGAAGAACCUUACCUACUCUUGACAUCUACAGAAGCCAGCGGAGACGCAGGUGUGCCUUCGGGAACUGUAAGACAGGUGCUGCAUGGCUGUCGUCAGCUCGUGUUGUGAAAUGUUGGGUUAAGUCCCGCAACGAGCGCAACCCUUAUCCUUGUUUGCCAGCACGUAAUGGUGGGAACUCCAGGGAGACUGCCGGUGAUAAACCGGAGGAAGGUGGGGACGACGUCAAGUCAUCAUGGCCCUUACGAGUAGGGCUACACACGUGCUACAAUGGCAUAUACAGAGGGCAGCAAGACCGCGAGGUGGAGCGAAUCCCACAAAGUAUGUCGUAGUCCGGAUCGGAGUCUGCAACUCGACUCCGUGAAGUCGGAAUCGCUAGUAA
RNAcentral lists this ribosomal RNA (425 nucleotides) under uncultured bacterium. RNAcentral's name for it is "bacterial SSU rRNA". It matches the Rfam family "Bacterial small subunit ribosomal RNA", at positions 917 to 1341 of the family's 1533-position model. The record is from RNAcentral.